This 654-nucleotide long non-coding RNA is filed under the name Homo sapiens (human). RNAcentral describes it as "non-protein coding lnc-C16orf78-5:1". The record is from RNAcentral. Lineage: Eukaryota; Metazoa; Chordata; Mammalia; Primates; Hominidae.
CCAGAAGGAAAAUGAAAGAAGAAAUUUAAAUACCACUUGAAGAGAGGUGCUGCCCAGUUCAUGAGUGCUGCUGCUGUCCUGCCCAAGUACCCAGCUUGCAGAGUGCCAGAGUUAGAGUCCCAGGGGUGUUCUCCACAGCUGCAUGCUUGAUCCAGGCCUAUCAGAUAUAUUCCAUUGAAAGUCCUCAUUCUCAAAUUUAAAACAAAGACUUUUUGUGUACCUCAAUAGCAAUGCACACACAGUUGGCUUCACAAACAUAUUGUACAUUUCUUUUUUUCAUAUUUAUUCAACAAAUGUAUAUUGACUACCCACCGUGUGACAGGUGUUAUUUGUUGACGGAACCAGGCAUCAUCAGCAAACAAAACUGACAAAGCUUCCUGCCCUCUGUGGAAGGCAUCUGAGGAAGAGACUGGAUUUUGUAGCAACAUGUUAUUCUCAUUAUAAACUUUAUCAUUGGAAUACUAAAGCCAAAUCAUCCCCCAUCUCCUUGAUCAGGAUACCCACUUAAUCUAGGCAGCUACACAAUUGUGAGAGCCUUUGUUUUUUUCUGCUGAAACAUCCUUAAAAAGAUACCUCACAACCCAAGAUUUGGCUUUUCUUAAAUACGAUUUUUAAUUUUUUUCAUUUCUAUCUAGAGAUUUAAUUGGAAAUGGA